Grus americana (Whooping crane) is the source of this 5405-nucleotide long non-coding RNA. RefSeq lists it as uncharacterized. Lineage: Eukaryota; Metazoa; Chordata; Aves; Gruiformes; Gruidae. The record is from RefSeq and is a predicted model, not a curated record. The transcript is spliced from 2 exons.
CUUAAAAAAUAAAACGCGUGGUAAUUUGAUUAUUUUUCGUAAGUAUUGACGAUUGUAAUUAGUUUGCACAAGUUGGUUGCACAACACAUUAGACUUAAGCAAUUCUCUACGUGAACUUGUAUCCCAAUUAGGAAAUUAAGGAACCGCUGUCGUACCAACACCAGGGUGGCAGCACACCACCUUUUUUUCAUUCCUCUGCUUGCAGUAUGCAGGACGCUGAGUCACAGAUCAAGAUCUCACCGAGCUGUGCAAACACAGAUCAUGCAGACAGUGCCUGCCCCGGAGAGCAAUAUUUUAGAAGGGAUUUUAUAAGAACAGAAUUAAAGUUUACCGAAAGGCCCGAGAAGGCAGCCCAUUUAUACACCUCCAGCAAUCACAUUUUGGCAGCGUACUCCUGAGACGUCCGUACGUUUGCAGGACUUCCUCGCUGUGAUGGAGAGCGCGGAUAAUGAGGGACACGUCUGCUCACCUUUGACUAGAAAGCGCGAGGAUAUAAUAAGACGAUAAUAAUAUUUAGCAAUUCUGUAGCUAUUUACAACUUCCAAGGGCUAUGAGCCACUCACUGGUUCAUCCUCACCGCAGCCCAGCGAGGAAGGCGAGUUACCUCCACCACGUGCAUCUUCCUGGCAAGGCGGGACUGCCCUGCGGUCUGUCAUCCGGCACGUGCGCCACAGCGGAACAGAUCUCGCCUUGGAGAGAGGGGCGUUUUUUUCCCUUUUUUAUUAGGAUGUUCACCUUAAACUUCUCAUUCCAUAAAAACGGGAAAAGGUUAUUCACAUGGAAACAUAAGAGACUAAAAUAUGGGCUGAAAUGUGCCUGUUUCAAGUAUUUAUGUUGAUAAGAAAAAAUAAUGGGAGCAUAUGCUACAGAAAAUAAAAAGUAAGGAACAAGAUGCAGAUUAAGACGACUAGAAAUAAUAUGUCAGUGAUACCCAUGUCACCAAAACCUAGAAGACUGAUGAUCUGUAUGACUGAGGGGAAGCAAGUGGGUGGUGAGAGCAGAAAAGGGCUGUCAACCAUGAAGAUAAUGUUACAGGGACCCACGCUUCAGAUUUUCAAAGCCGAGUAAAGAAGUCGCACAGUGAAAUUAGUAGAAUUUGCAUGUGUCUCAAGUCAAAAUUGCAUGUGGGGAGAGAUUUCACAUCAAACACAGUAUGACACGGAGUAUUCACAGCGAACAGCAUCAAGUAGAGGUGACAGAUGCUGAAGGCAGCUGGUGAGCAAAUACCCAAAUCCAGAUGUCGUUGCCGUUUUCUCUUCCCACUCGAACUGACCGGAUGAAUUCACAGAAUCACAGCAUCGACUCGUAACGGAGGGUGCGAGUCUGUCCCCCCAAUCUGCUUUAACAGAAGCAAAAGAAAAACAGAAAAGAUAGUGGAGAUGCUGACUCUCCCAGCUUGUCCACCUUCACUUCAACUCCGUUCUUACAACAUUGCCACUUGUAAAAUACAUUCUGUGACGUGGCUGAUAGUAAACGUGGGUAAGUGGAGUUCAUCUGCUUCUAAUUUGACCGCUAUAGUGUCACGUAUUGUAAAUGUCGAACAGAUGCUUGUGCCUAUGAUUUUAUUUGUCUCUGCAUCAGGACGCCUGGGUCUCCUCUUCCUACGAACACCUUACGGGUCUUCUCCACGCCGUGGCAAAGGAUUCACAGCUUCGCGCUCGUCUUGCUGGUUCCUUCAGGAGAUCCGUUUCUGUUGAAACUGCCAAGAGAAGUUGCCCAGUGUUGGAAAGCUGGAGCAACGUCAGUUUGAGGGCUUUGAGUCUAGUUCGUACAAUUCAAGGAAAAUCAGCAGGAGUUUGUAAAACCAGUAACAAGUUUAUCAAAUGAAUACAUUUGACUGCUUUCCCUAACUUUUAUAGCUGACUUGUCUUCGACUGCAGCCCCCAGUUUUGAUUAGAGACUUAGAGUAUAAAUAUUCAAUAAUAACAACCAUAAUAAAAAUGUGUAACCUAGCUCCACCCCUUCCUUCAGGAAAAUUUUAUUCCACUGAAUGAUUGCAAAGUAGCCCCAAUUUUAAGCACCUCUGCUUCAAUCUUCAGUAUAUUUCUCAGGAAGAUUAGAAUAUUCUCCCCUGUUCUGUGAUGAAUUAACUGCGUUUGGUCGUAUUUUUUGAGGGGGGCAGGGGGAAUUACCAUAUCGCUAUAUGCACAAGAGAUCAAAUGUAUGAUUAAAAAUAUUUAUAAUACUGAUGUGGAAAAGAAUGAUAUGUUAAACAGAUAAGCAUAUAAUAAUGCAUGUCUUACCCAUAAAAUUUAAUUUAUCCCUUGGGCAGGGCAUAAACUUUGCUCAAGAACAACAUGUUUUCCAUCUAUAGAUUGCAGAGCUAAACUGCUUAAUUUUACAGCAAAUUGAUCACUGCUGUAAUAUUUCAGGAGCAAAAUGAUCCUCAACAGUCAGUUCAGUUUCAAAAGCCAAAAUUUAUAGUUCUGCUUCUGAUUUAGUGAUAAGGUUUUUUAACAUAUUGGGCAUUUCAUCACUUUCUAUCGGGAGUCAGCGUUGAACCAACAAAGAAAUAUUUUUUGAAAUCAACAACAACAACAACAAUAAUAAAAAAAAAGGACCAUAAAUAAUACACAUCCAACUGACAGAAGAGUUUAAUAUUCCCUUCAGACUGGUAGGAAAUUACUCAGGUUCCCGUCCUUGUAAACAUGUGUCCCGGCCCGUGCGGGAGACGCGCUGUGCCGCCGCAGGGGCGCAGAGCCCACCGGCCUUCCUGCCGCCGAGGAAACGGUGUCGCUUCUCUUCCCAAGUGGCUAAACUUCAUUUUACCCAAUGCAAAUAAAAUCCGGUAGAUCUAAAGUUAUUUGACACUUUUGAUAUGUUUAAAAUAAAUGUAGAGAGAUUUAAUGGUGUGAAAGUUCAUGACUCAGUAAAGAUUGCUCCCUAGCUGGGGUCUUAGGAUAGACACCUAUAAAAUCAAAUUAUUAUAAUCACAGGAGUCAUGAGAGAAAAGCAGGCCCUGCUGAGCUCCAGUCGCUGAGUUUUUGCAUUCAUUAUACUUCUCCCAGUUAUGAAACAAAGGGACAAGGUAGGCUGAAAUCUCAAAAGGUUUUAUCGAGUCAUUCUUUGCAGCAGCAUUUUGUGAUUACUACAGUGAAUUUUUAGAAAGCCGAUUCGCGUGCCAAGAGAAGGGGGAAGAGACACGGCUUCCUCCUUACCUCAAUGCGGUAGUAAACGCACGUUUUGGAACAAUAACCCCCAAAAUUAUGGACACUGGAAAAAUAAAAGUAAAGGCACGGAUUACGUUUGUGACGCUUAUCAGAGAGCGAUGCUCUGGAGUAAGUUACCGAGACAGAUAUCUAACGUAAAGCCAUGAUGCGUGAUGCAAAGGUCAGAUUUUAAACGGCUGGCUCCCACUGCCUCACGUUGUGUCUGGUUUAGGAGAGAAAUGGCCUUAAAAGUCCUUCUUAAACGUCCACAUGUCCCCCAUCCAUUUGGAUACCUAAUCAGCAGUGCCGUGUGGUGAGAUUUGGUGGGUGGCACAUACUGACGCGCAGGAGCACACCUAUGUGGCUGGUUUAUAAUCAAGAAGAUAAUUCCCCAAAGCCGCUGUUGCCUUCGUGCCUUUGUCUGCCCGCCGCCCUGGGACGCGCUGCAUGGAGACGCGGUGGUGAGGUCAUUUGCUUGGGCCCGACGUUUCUUUGGAGGCUUAAAGGGUACAAUGUCUCCGUGCACCGUGCGGAGUGUGAUGGUGUGUUUUUCAUGUUUGUGCUUCGUAAUAAAAACAAGAGAAAGGAAAGGAUCAAAUGCCAACAUUUUUUUUUGGUGAGGAAAACAAUAAUUAUGGGUGCAUAUUUCACCUGCAAUUAUUUACAACUGGAGUUUAGAUCAGGGAGAUGUCUAAAUCCUUGAUGGAAGCUCACAGUCGGCAGUGCAGACGCUUUGUCUGGCCCCGGUCUGUUUGGCUGGAUGGGAUUAUGCUGGGGAAGGAGGUGCUGAGCACUCUGGCUCCCUUCAAAAACCGAGGCGAGAGAUUUCGGCUGCGGGCUCAACUGAUUUAACUGCGCACGUUCUUCUUCAGUCGUUACGUCCCUUAGCUGGCCGAGCACGCGAACCCUCCCCACGGUUUGUGUUAAGCACUUACGCAGAUAACUUAGAAACAGGGUUCACAUCCUCAACUUGUGCAGUUUUACUGAGAACAGCGGAUGAAAGGUGAUUUAUGUUAGCCAAUAUUUCAAAGGGAUUUUCUAGGGCUCAAAAUUCAGCUUUGGAAAUACAUGCAAGAGUUCUAAUGGAAGAAUGCACUAGAGGUUGUCAAUCUUCUUUUAAUUACAGAGUUAAGUAUAGGAAAUCCUUUACCAAUCAGUUGCAAUUAAAGAAGAACUGUCUGUGGACAAUUUAGUGGAUUUGUUUUACUUUGCGUCAUCUUUCUCAGGUGGUUUUCACAUAAAAUCCCUUCUGCAGGUUUUAAGUUUGACGAUUGUGCUUGAAGACCCGAUCAGCUCUCCUGCAACUGGGUGCUACAGAAAUGGAUAGUAACGGACAGCCCGAGCGUGAACGAGUGUAAAAUCUGGGCUGCGUCCAAACUGACUCCAUGUCCAGGCGCGCAGGAUUGCCCAUUUACAGGCAGCCUCACAAAAACCGUGAACACAUUGGUGGUCAUAAAUCACGUACUGUAAUUCUGCUUGCCAAUGAAUGGCCAGCAAAAUAUUUUAAUGAAUGUUUGCACUCGUAAUGACUGUGUCUGCACCCAGAUCUCAAGGUGAACGUCAGGUGAACUUGCUGCGUAUCGAGCCCACGCUUUGAAAUACAAGAUACGGAGCGAGUCCAGACUCCUGUGAAAAUGGGUUCACGUUUGCGCAGUGGGUUCAUGGCCCUUAAGCACAGCUUGCAGCGAAGCAGAGCGCAGCUUUAAGUGCCAUCCCAAACCUGGCUUCCCAGCAGAGGCGUUUUCUGCCCGUUCCGACCGCAGCAAGCGCAGCGUCGGCUCCCCGUCCCCUUGCGUGCCUUCCUCGGGUUCUUGGGUUCCCUCCCGUGCUCUCCUCGCGUGACGGGCUCGCACUCUCCGCCUCCGUUGUUAUUCCCCCUAAACUUGCUUUGUUACCUGCUCUGUCUCCUGUGUCAUCAAAGCCCGACUCCGUACCGCCCGCCAAUUAGCCCUCGUCUGUCAGCACGUUCACAGCACCCCGAGGAGUGACGGGGAGCGGCAGCGCACGGAAGAGCCGUCGGAUGCGCAGCUCUGGGUCCUUGCCCUUCCUCGCGCGGUGGUAGCGUGGGGCUUAGGUUUCCUGGAGACAAAACUUUCGGGAAGCGGCAGAAGCCGUUGGUAACAACUGAAAUCCGAUGACUGAAAAGAGAAGCUGUUUCGAAAUUAACAGCGAAGUGCACAGAACCUUCCCGCGUUUGAAGCAGGCUGUUAGGAAUAUGGCCCUCCUCUGUAGGCAGAGUGAAAAAGCCCGACACAG